GGAGAUGGGUUCUCCUUUGAACCCUAAGUCACCAAAAAUCAACCAAGUUCAUGGGGCAAAUCAAGUCUAAAUGGAAAACCAAGCCGAAAUUAGUGAUCACCAAGCCUAGGGGAUCACAAGGCGACUCGAGCGAAAAGGCGGGUGAUAAAGCCGGGAGCGAUACGCGGCAUAAAGAGAAGAUCUAAGGUGAUGUUCGUCUCACUCCGGAUGCCGAUCAAGCAAGAAUUCAAGAACCGAACACACCUCUCAAUGAAGCUUCCGCAGUUGUAUUUGUUUUGUUUAUAAAAAAAAAAGAAAAAUGGAUUAUGUAAACACAAUCAACUAUGU
This is a long non-coding RNA of Helianthus annuus (common sunflower), 327 nucleotides long. RefSeq lists it as uncharacterized. The record is from RefSeq and is a predicted model, not a curated record. Lineage: Eukaryota; Viridiplantae; Streptophyta; Magnoliopsida; Asterales; Asteraceae. The transcript has 3 exons.